Molecule: ribosomal RNA, 253 nt
Filed under: uncultured bacterium
Lineage: Bacteria
Description: partial 16S ribosomal RNA
Rfam family: Bacterial small subunit ribosomal RNA
Source: RNAcentral
UACGUAGGGUGCAGGCGUUAAUCGGAAUUACUGGGCGUAAAGCGUGCGCAGGUUGUUUUGCAAGUCAGGUGUGAAAUCCCCGGGCUUAACCUGGGAAUUGCGCUUGAAACUAGCGGGCUUGAGUGUGGCAGAGGGGGGUGGAAUUCCACGUGUAGCAGUGAAAUGCGUAGAGAUUGGAAAGAACACCGAUGGCGAAGGCACUUUACUGGGCUAUUACUAACACUCAGAGACGAAAGCUAGGGUAGCAAAUGGG